Molecule: ribosomal RNA, 250 nt
Filed under: uncultured bacterium
Lineage: Bacteria
Description: partial 16S ribosomal RNA
Rfam family: Bacterial small subunit ribosomal RNA
Source: RNAcentral
UACGUAGGGUGCGAGCGUUAAUCGGAAUUACUGGGCGUAAAGCGUGCGUAGGCGGUCGCUCAAGCUCGAUGUGAAAGCCCCGGGCUUAACCUGGGAAUGGCAUUGAGGACUGAGGGGCUGGAGUGCGGCAGAGGGAGGUGGAAUUCCACGUGUAGCAGUGAAAUGCGUAGAGAUGUGGAGGAACACCGAUGGCGAAGGCAGCCUCCUGGGCCGACACUGACGCUGAUGCACGAAAGCGUGGGGAGCAAAC